This 2691-nucleotide long non-coding RNA is filed under the name Malus domestica (apple). RNAcentral describes it as "long non-coding RNA (MDOM_LNC002281)". Lineage: Eukaryota; Viridiplantae; Streptophyta; Magnoliopsida; Rosales; Rosaceae. The record is from RNAcentral.
UAAUAAGUUAUUCUGAUGGAUAAAAGAUUUCCGACACAUAAUUUAUUUACUGUCGGAUUAAAGUUACUUUCUGUCGGAUAUAUUCGACAUAAAUUCCUGGCGGAUUUUUCCUGACGGAUUUAACCGCCAUGAAAUUAUUAUAACCCUCAGUAUUUUUGAAUUCUUUUUUUUUAAUAUUUUAAAGAUAUUCUGGCGGUUUCUAAGUUAAUUGUGGCGGUUAUAACCGACAUAAAUUGACUAUUUUAUUAUUUUAGAAUCUGAUGGUCAUUAUUUUAGUAUUUUGCCGGUUAUAACCGACAGAAAUUGAUUAUUUUAUCAUUUUAAAAUGUUACAUUCAUUAAAAAUAAAUAAAAAAAUGGUGUAAAUAUUUUGUAUUCACUCACGGUCCCAUUACCUAAUCUCUGAAUGUUUUUUUUUUUUUUUGCGAUUUUUUACAAAUGCUAUCUCGGAGUACAUACAAACGGUUGAAUCGUUGAAACUAGUUUCGUAAAAUGCAUGUCCUAUCAAAUUGAUAGAUUUAACAAACACUUAAGAGUUAAUGUUAUACUUCCAUUAAGUAUAAAAAAUUAUCCACUAGUGUAAAUAUUUUAAAUUGAAGAUCGAAUUUGUUCAAUGCAUUCUUAUAGGGUCGAGGAGUGUAGCUGUAAAAAAUCAUCAAAAUCGAAGCUAAAAUAACCGUUAAAUUGUGAUUUUUUGUUUAUAAUCAUUGAAAAUUUAUGUUUCAUUACCUAAUCUCUUAAUGUUUGUUUUUUACAAUUUUUUACGUAUGCAAUCUCGGAGUGUGUACAAAUAAGUUUAACGGUUGGAUCGUUGAAAAAAGUUAAAUAGAAUGUAUAUUGCAUCAAAAUUGUAGAUUAAACAAACACUAGUUAAUAUUAUACUUCUAUUAAGUAUAAAAUAAGAUUUUGUGGUAUCCACUAGUGUAAAUAUUUUAAAUUGAAUAUCAAAUUUAUUCAUUACAUUCUUAUAGGAUCGAGGAGUGUAGCUGUAAAAAAAUCAUCAAAAUCGGAGCUAAAAUAACCGUUAAAUUGUGAUUUUUCUUUUAUAACCGUCGAAAACUUUUGUUCCGUUACCUAAUCUCUGAAUGUUUGUUUUUUACGAUUUUUUACGUAUGCAAUCUCGGAGUGUGUACAAAUAAGUUUGAUGGUUGGAUCGUUGAAAAAAGUUUUGUAGAAUGCAUAUUGCGUCAAAACGGUAGAUUAAACAAACACUUGAAAGUUAAUAUUAUACUUCUAUUAAGUAUAAAAUAAGAUUUUGUGUUAUCCACUAGUGUAAAUAUUUUAAAUUAAAGAUCAAAUUUAUUCAUUACAUUCUUAUAGGGUCGAGGAGUGUAGCUGUAAAAAAUCAUCAAAAUCGGAGCUAAAAUAACCGUUGAAUUGUGAAUUUUCUUUUAUAACCAUCGAAAACUUUUGUUCCGUUACCUAAUCUCUGAAUGUUUGUUUUUUACGAUUUUUUACGUAUAAAAUCUCGGAGUGUGUACAAAUAAGUUUGACGGUUGGAUCGUUGAAAAAAGCUUCUUAGAAUGCGUAUCACAUCAAAACAGUAGAUUAAACAAACACUUAGAGUUAAUGUUAUACUUCCAUUAAGAAUAAAAUAAGAUUUUGUAAUAUCCACUAGUGUAAAUAUUUUAAAUUAAAGAUCAAAUUUAUUCAUUACAUUCUUAUAGGGUCAAAAAGUGAAGCUGUAAAAAAUCAUCAAAAUCGGAGCUAAAAUAACCGUUAAAUUGGGAUUUUUCGUUUAUAAUUGUCGAAAACUUUUGUUCUGUUACGUAAUCUCUGAAUGUUUAUUUUUUACAAUUUUUUACGUAUGUAAUCUCGGAGUGUGUACAAAUAAGUUUGACGGUUGGAUCGUUGAAAAACGUUUGGUAGAAUGCAUAUUGUGUCAAAACGGUAGAUUAAACAAACACUUAGAGUUAAUAUUAUAUUUAUAUUAAGUAUAAAAUAAGAUUUUGUGUUAUCCACUAGUGUAAAUAUUUUAAAUUAAAGAUCAAAUUUAUUCAUUACACUCUUAUAGGGUCGAGCAGUGUAGCUGUAAAAAAUCAUCAAAAUCAGAGCUAAAUAACCGUUAAAUUGUGAUUUUUCGUUUAUAACCAUCGAAAACUUUUGUUCUGUUACAUAAUCUCUGAAUGUUUUUUUUUUACGAUUUUUUACGUAUGCAAUCUCGAAGUGUGUACAAAUAAGUUUGACGGUUGGAUCGUUGAAAAAAGUUUCGUAGAAUGCAUAUUGCGUCAAAACAGUAGAUUAAACAAACACCUAGAGUUAAUAUUAUACUUCUAUUAAGUAUAAAAUAAGAUUUUAUGGUAUCCACUAGUGUAAAUAUUUUAAAUUAAAGAUCAAAUUUAUUUAUUACAUUCUUAUAGGGUUGAGGUGUGAAAAGUGUGAAAAGUAAUUUGUGCUAAGUAAUUUGUUUAUUACAUUCUUAAAUAUUUUAAAUUAAAGAUCAAAAUUUAUUUAUUUUCAAGUGUGAAAAGUAAUUUGAAGUGUGAUGACAUUUUCAUUGUACAAUUAUAUUUUUGUUUCUUUAUUGCAUAUUUAACAUGGAUUAUUAUCUAUUAAACCAAACAAUUAUUUAUUUUCACAAAAAAAAAAUUAUUUAUUUAAUUUUAAAAAACGUAUUAUAUUUAAAUACAUAUUAUCUAUUUAUUUACUACACAAUUAUUAUUUUAAAUUUUGAAAUCGUAACAAAAUUUUG